This 2154-nucleotide ribosomal RNA is filed under the name marine metagenome. RNAcentral's name for it is "bacterial LSU rRNA". It matches the Rfam family "Bacterial large subunit ribosomal RNA", at positions 3 to 2087 of the family's 2925-position model. The record is from RNAcentral.
UCAAGCAAGCAAGGGCAAACGGUGGAUGCCUUGGCGCCAGGAGGCGAUGAAGGACGUGGCUAGCUGCGAAAAGCCUCGGGGAGCUGCUAAGCAAGCUUUGAUCCGGGGAUUUCCGAAUGGGGAAACCCGUCCGGGGUCAUGCCCGGUCAUCCGGCUCUGAAUUCAUAGGAGCCGGAGGCAAACCCGGGGAACUGAAACAUCUCAGUACCCGGUGGAAUGGAAAUCAACUGAGACUCCCCUAGUAGCGGCGAGCGAACGGGGACCAUGCCUAAACCGGUGGGAAGCAAUUCCUACCGGGGUUGUGGGACUCCAACAUGGGAUCUGGAAGGGUAGGAGAACGGUCUGGAAAGGCCGGCCAGAGAGGGUGACAGCCCUGUAUCCGAAACCUCGAAGGACCCUAGGAGAUUCCCGAGUACCACGGGGCACGUGAAACCCUGUGGGAAUCUGGGUGGACCAUCAUCCAAGGCUAAGUACUACCUGGCGACCGAUAGUGAACCAGUACCGUGAGGGAAAGGCGAAAAGAACCCCGGCGAGGGGAGUGAAAUAGACCCUGAAACCGUUUGCCUACAUUCAGUAGGAGCUCUAUGGCCGAUCUUCGGAUCGGCAACGAGUGACUGCGUACCUUUUGUUUAAUGGGUCCGCGAGUUACUCCUCGGCAGCAAGGUUAAGCCGUGAGGUGUAGCCGUAGCGAAAGCAAGUCUGAACAGGGCGUUCAGUUGCCGGGGGUAGACCCGAAACCGAGUGAUCUAUCCAUGGCCAGGUUGAAGCUCGGGUAAGACCGAGUGGAGGACCGAACGGUAGAAGGUUGAAGACUUCGCGGAUGGGCGGUGGAUAGGGGUGAAAGGCCAAUCAAACUCGGAGAUAGCUGGUUCUCCCCGAAAUAUAUUGAGGUAUAGCCUUGCGUAUCACCACCGGAGGUAGAGCACUGGAUGGGCUAGGGGUCCUACCAGAUUACCGAACCCAACCAAACUCCGAAUACCGGUGAGUGCAGCGUGGGAGUCAGACUGCGGGCGAUAAGGUUCGUGGUCGAGAGGGAAACAGCCCAGACCGCCAGCUAAGGUCCCGAAAUCCGUGCUAAGUGGGAAAGGAUGUGGGAGCGCUUAGACAGCCAGGAGGUUGGCUUAGAAGCAGCCACCCUUUAAAAAGUGCGUAAUAGCUUACUGGUCUAGUGAGCCUGCGCCGAAAAUGUAACGGGGCUUAAGCACGGUACCGAAGCUGCGGGAUUACAAUGCCUUCGGGCAUUGCAAUCGGUAGGGGAGCGUUCCAGUAGCCUGUGAAGCUCGACGGAAACGACGAGUGGAGGUCCUGGAAGUGCUUAUGCGGACAUGAGUAGCGAUAAACAGGGUGAGAAACCCUGUCGCCGUAAGCCUGAGGGUUCCUGAGUAAAGCUAAUCUGCUCAGGGUUAGUCGAUCCCUAAGCCGAGGCCGAAAGGCGUAGGUAAUGGAAAACAGGUUAAUAUUCCUGUACCACCGGGUUAUCAAUAUCCUUUCGGGGAUGAGAGUGAUUGGGGGGACGCAAAAGGGUAGAUCAGCCAUCUGUUGGAUUAGGUGGUUCAAGCUCGUAGGCUGAAAGAACAGGAAAAUCCAUUCUUUCAUAAAAGCUGAGAAGUGAUGAGGAUCCCGUUUUCGGGAACAAACUGAUCGAUCCCAUGUUGCCAAGAAAAGCCUCUAGCGAGAUAACCAGGUGAUCGUACCACAAACCGACACAGGUAGGCAGGGAGAGAAUCCCAAGGCGCUUGAGAGAACCCUGGUUAAGGAACUCGGCAAAAUAACACCGUAACUUAGGGAGAAGGUGUGCCCUCAUUAGGUGAAGCAACUUGCUUGUGGAGCUGAGGAGGGUCGCAGAGAAAUGGCGGUAGCGACUGUUUACUAAAAACAUAGGACUCUGCUAAGUCGUAAGACGAUGUAUAGGGUCUGACGCCUGCCCGGUGCCGGAAGGUUAAGGGAACCUGUCAGGACUUCGGUCCGAAGCAGUGAACCGAAGCCCCGGUAAACGGCGGCCGUAACUAUAACGGUCCUAAGGUAGCGAAAUUCCUUGUCGGGUAAGUUCCGACCUGCACGAAUGGCGAAACGCUGGCCGCACUGUCUCGACCAGGGACUCAGUGAAAUUGUAAUACCGGUGAAGAUGCCGGUUACCCGCGACAGGACGGAAAG